UACGUAGGGGGCAAGCGUUGUCCGGAAUCAUUGGGCGUAAAGAGCGUGUAGGCGGUCCGGUAAGUCCGCUGUGAAAGUCGGGGGCUCAACCCUCGAAUGCCGGUGGAUACUGUCGGGCUAGAGUGCGGGAGAGGCGAGUGGAAUUCCUGGUGUAGCGGUGAAAUGCGCAGAUAUCAGGAGGAACACCAAUUGCGAAGGCAGCUCGCUGGAACGUAACUGACGCUGAGACGCGAAAGCGUGGGGAGCAAACAGG
Molecule: ribosomal RNA, 253 nt
Filed under: uncultured bacterium
Lineage: Bacteria
Description: partial 16S ribosomal RNA
Rfam family: Bacterial small subunit ribosomal RNA
Source: RNAcentral